Molecule: ribosomal RNA, 1096 nt
Filed under: Escherichia coli
Lineage: Bacteria; Pseudomonadati; Pseudomonadota; Gammaproteobacteria; Enterobacterales; Enterobacteriaceae
Description: bacterial LSU rRNA
Rfam family: Bacterial large subunit ribosomal RNA
Source: RNAcentral
CUGCGGCAGCGACGCUUAUGCGUUGUUGGGUAGGGGAGCGUUCUGUAAGCCUGUGAAGGUGUACUGUGAGGUAUGCUGGAGGUAUCAGAAGUGCGAAUGCUGACAUAAGUAACGAUAAAGCGGGUGAAAAGCCCGCUCGCCGGAAGACCAAGGGUUCCUGUCCAACGUUAAUCGGGGCAGGGUGAGUCGACCCCUAAGGCGAGGCCGAAAGGCGUAGUCGAUGGGAAACAGGUUAAUAUUCCUGUACUUGGUGUUACUGCGAAGGGGGGACGGAGAAGGCUAUGUUGGCCGGGCGACGGUUGUCCCGGUUUAAGCGUGUAGGCUGGUUUUCCAGGCAAAUCCGGAAAAUCAAGGCUGAGGCGUGAUGACGAGGCACUACGGUGCUGAAGCAACAAAUGCCCUGCUUCCAGGAAAAGCCUCUAAGCAUCAGGUAACAUCAAAUCGUACCCCAAACCGACACAGGUGGUCAGGUAGAGAAUACCAAGGCGCUUGAGAGAACUCGGGUGAAGGAACUAGGCAAAAUGGUGCCGUAACUUCGGGAGAAGGCACGCUGAUAUGUAGGUGAAGCGACUUGCUCGUGGAGCUGAAAUCAGUCGAAGAUACCAGCUGGCUGCAACUGUUUAUUAAAAACACAGCACUGUGCAAACACGAAAGUGGACGUAUACGGUGUGACGCCUGCCCGGUGCCGGAAGGUUAAUUGAUGGGGUUAGCGCAAGCGAAGCUCUUGAUCGAAGCCCCGGUAAACGGCGGCCGUAACUAUAACGGUCCUAAGGUAGCGAAAUUCCUUGUCGGGUAAGUUCCGACCUGCACGAAUGGCGUAAUGAUGGCCAGGCUGUCUCCACCCGAGACUCAGUGAAAUUGAACUCGCUGUGAAGAUGCAGUGUACCCGCGGCAAGACGGAAAGACCCCGUGAACCUUUACUAUAGCUUGACACUGAACAUUGAGCCUUGAUGUGUAGGAUAGGUGGGAGGCUUUGAAGUGUGGACGCCAGUCUGCAUGGAGCCGACCUUGAAAUACCACCCUUUAAUGUUUGAUGUUCUAACGUUGACCCGUAAUCCGGGUUGCGGACAGUGUCUGGUGGGUAGUUUGACUGGGG